AUUGAACGCUGGCGGCAGGCUUAACACAUGCAAGUCGAGCGAGCGGCGGACGGGUGAGUAAUGUCUGGGAAACUGCCUGAGAGAGGGGGAUCACAACUAGAAACGGUAGCUAAUACCGCAUACCAUCAGAUGUGCCCAGAUGGGAUUAGCUAGGAGGUGGGGUAAUGGUUCACCUAGGCGACGAGCCCUAGCUGGUCUGAGAGAAUGACCAGCCACACUGGAAUUGAUACACGGCCCAGCCGCCUACGGGAGGCAGCAGUGGGGAAUAUUGCACAAUGGGCGCAAGCCUGAUGCAGCCAUGCCGCGUGUGUGAAGAAGGCCUUCGGGUUGUAAAGCACUUUCAGCGAGGAGGCGUUACUCGCAGAAGAAGCACCGGCUAACUCCGUGCCAGCAGCCGCGGUAAUAC
RNAcentral lists this ribosomal RNA (406 nucleotides) under uncultured bacterium. RNAcentral describes it as "partial 16S ribosomal RNA". It matches the Rfam family "Bacterial small subunit ribosomal RNA", at positions 30 to 526 of the family's 1533-position model. The record is from RNAcentral.